Molecule: ribosomal RNA, 253 nt
Filed under: uncultured bacterium
Lineage: Bacteria
Description: partial 16S ribosomal RNA
Rfam family: Bacterial small subunit ribosomal RNA
Source: RNAcentral
UACGUAGGGUGCGAGCGUUAAUCGGAAUUACUGGGCGUAAAGCGUGCGCAGGCGGUUUUGUAAGCCAGAUGUGAAAGCCCCGGGCUUAACCUGGGAAUGGCAUUUGGGACUGCAAGGCUGGAGUGCGGCAGAGGAGACUGGAAUUCCUGGUGUAGCAGUGAAAUGCGUAGAUAUCAGGAGGAACACCGAUGGCGAAGGCAGGUCUCUGGGCUGACACUGACGCUCAUGCACGAAAGCGUGGGGAGCAAACAGG